This 512-nucleotide ribosomal RNA is filed under the name uncultured bacterium. RNAcentral describes it as "bacterial SSU rRNA". It matches the Rfam family "Bacterial small subunit ribosomal RNA", at positions 34 to 518 of the family's 1533-position model. The record is from RNAcentral.
CGCUGGCGGCGUGCCUAAUACAUGCAAGUCGAACGGUCUUUUCUAUGGAAGCUUGCUUCCACUGAGAAGAUAGUGGCGAACGGGUGAGUAACACGUGGGUAACCUGCCCAUAAGAGGGGGAUAACAUCCGGAAACGGGUGCUAAUACCGCAUAGUUUUCUUGAUCGCAUGAUUGAGAAAGGAAAGGCGGCCUUUGUGCUGUCGCUUAUGGAUGGACCCGCGGCGUAUUAGUUAGUUGGUGAGGUAACGGCUCACCAAGACGAUGAUACGUAGCCGACCUGAGAGGGUGAUCGGCCACAUUGGGACUGAGACACGGCCCAAACUCCUACGGGAGGCAGCAGUAGGGAAUCUUCCGCAAUGGACGAAAGUCUGACGGAGCAACGCCGCGUGAGUGAAGAAAGGUUUUCGGAUCGUAAAACUCUGUUGUCAGAGAAGAACAAGUUGGAGAGUAACUGCUCCAGCCUUGACGGUAUCUGACCAGAAAGCCACGGCUAACUACGUGCCAGCAGCCGC